Molecule: transfer RNA, 73 nt
Filed under: Ixodes scapularis (black-legged tick)
Lineage: Eukaryota; Metazoa; Arthropoda; Arachnida; Ixodida; Ixodidae
Description: tRNA-Ile
Rfam family: tRNA
About the family: Transfer RNA (tRNA) molecules are approximately 80 nucleotides in length. Their secondary structure includes four short double-helical elements and three loops (D, anti-codon, and T loops). Further hydrogen bonds mediate the characteristic L-shaped molecular structure. tRNAs have two regions of fundamental functional importance: the anti-codon, which is responsible for specific mRNA codon recognition, and the 3' end, to which the tRNAs corresponding amino acid is attached (by aminoacyl-tRNA synthetases). tRNAs cope with the degeneracy of the genetic code in two manners: having more than one tRNA (with a specific anti-codon) for a particular amino acid; and 'wobble' base-pairing, i.e. permitting non-standard base-pairing at the 3rd anti-codon position.
Source: RNAcentral
CCCUGGUUAGCUCAGUUAGUAGAGCGCUCCACCUAUAAUGGAGAGGUCCCGGGUUCGAUACCCGGACCAGGCG